AAGUCGUAACAAGGUUUCCGUAGGUGGUUCGCCUGCGAAUUUAGUCUGCUUAGCAGGCAACAUCUUUACUGUGCUAGAAAUUACAAUUGUAUUACUAGCAGCCUGCUUAGCAGGUUCACAGAUCAAAUAGAGGUGGCCCUUAGGGGUUGAGACAUGAUCGAGUUGAUGCUGAAAUAGCACUGAGAAAUUGGAACCUGCGGAAGGAUCAUUAAAGAGUCAUUAUGGGCUUACACCCUAAUACUCCACCCUUUGUUUACAUUACCUCUGUUGCUUUGGCAGGCCCGUCCUUGUGACCACUGG
This 300-nucleotide unclassified non-coding RNA is filed under the name Alatospora sp. RNAcentral describes it as "partial contains internal transcribed spacer 1". The record is from RNAcentral. Lineage: Eukaryota; Fungi; Ascomycota; Leotiomycetes; Leotiales; Leotiaceae.